AUACAUGCAAGUCGAACGCUUUUCUUUCACCGGAGCUUGCUCCACCGAAAGAAAAAGAGUGGCGAACGGGUGAGUAACACGUGGGUAACCUGCCCAUCAGAAGGGGAUAACACUUGGAAACAGGUGCUAAUACCGUAUAACACUAUUUUCCGCAUGGAAGAAAGUUGAAAGGCGCUUUUGCGUCACUGAUGGAUGGACCCGCGGUGCAUUAGCUAGUUGGUGAGGUAACGGCUCACCAAGGCCACGAUGCAUAGCCGACCUGAGAGGGUGAUCGGCCACACUGGGACUGAGACACGGCCCAGACUCCUACGGGAGGCAGCAGUAGGGAAUCUUCGGCAAUGGACGAAAGUCUGACCGAGCAACGCCGCGUGAGUGAAGAAGGUUUUCGGAUCGUAAAACUCUGUUGUUAGAGAAGAACAAGGAUGAGAGUAGAACGUUCAUCCCUUGACGGUAUCUAACCAGAAAGCCACGGCUAACUACGUGCCAGCAGCCGCGGUAAUACGUAGGUGGCAAGCGUUGUCCGGAUUUAUUGGGCGUAAAGCGAGCGCAGGCGGUUUCUUAAGUCUGAUGUGAAAGCCCCCGGCUCAACCGGGGAGGGUCAUUGGAAACUGGGAGACUUG
Molecule: ribosomal RNA, 620 nt
Filed under: uncultured Bacilli bacterium
Lineage: Bacteria; Bacillati; Bacillota; Bacilli
Description: bacterial SSU rRNA
Rfam family: Bacterial small subunit ribosomal RNA
Source: RNAcentral